AUAUCUCUCUGUACGGGAAGGAUGAGAAGCUUCGACCAAGGUUCGAUUCGAGCGUCAGCGAGAAAGCGUUGCCGCAGGCAACGACCCGAAGGGCGAAGCGCGCAGCGCUGAGUCAUCCUUCCCCCA
Molecule: small RNA, 126 nt
Filed under: Salmonella enterica subsp. enterica serovar Hartford
Lineage: Bacteria; Pseudomonadati; Pseudomonadota; Gammaproteobacteria; Enterobacterales; Enterobacteriaceae
Description: partial RtT sRNA
Rfam family: RtT RNA
About the family: This family represents a bacterial cis-regulatory element known as RtT RNA. The exact function of RtT is unknown although it is thought that it may be involved in changing the cellular response in relation to amino acid starvation.
Source: RNAcentral